AUUGAACGCUGGCGGCAGGCUUAACACAUGCAAGUCGAGCGGAGCGAGGGUGCUUGCACCUUAGCUUAGCGGCGGACGGGUGAGUAAUGCUUAGGAAUCUGCCUAUUAGUGGGGGACAACAUUCCGAAAGGAAUGCUAAUACCGCAUACGCCCUACGGGGGAAAGCAGGGGAUCUUCGGACCUUGCGCUAAUAGAUGAGCCUAAGUCGGAUUAGCUAGUUGGUGGGGUAAAGGCCUACCAAGGCGACGAUCUGUAGCGGGUCUGAGAGGAUGAUCCGCCAAACUGGGACUGGGACACGGCCCAGACUCCUACGGGAGGCAGCAGUGGGGAAUAUUGGACAAUGGGCGGAAGCCUGAUCUAGCCAUGCCGCGUGUGUGAAGAAGGCCUUUUGGUUGUAAAGCACUUUAAGCGAGGAGGAGGCUACUUAGAUUAAUACUCUGGGAUAGUGGACGUUACUCGCAGAAUAAGCACCGGCUAACUCUGUGCCAGCAGCCGCCGUAA
Molecule: ribosomal RNA, 501 nt
Filed under: uncultured bacterium
Lineage: Bacteria
Description: partial 16S ribosomal RNA
Rfam family: Bacterial small subunit ribosomal RNA
Source: RNAcentral